GUGCCAGCCGCCGCGGUAAUACGGAGGGUGCAAGCGUUAUCCGGAAUCACUGGGUUUAAAGGGUGCGUAGGCGGUUUGAUAAGUCAGAGGUGAAAGCUAGCAGCUUAACUGUUAAAUUGCCUUUGAUACUGUCAGACUUGAAUCAAGUUGAGGUAGGCGGAAUGUGACAUGUAGCGGUGAAAUGCAUAGAUAUGUCAUAGAACACCAAUUGCGUAGGCAGCUUGCUGGGCUUGAAUUGACGCUGAGGCACGAAAGCGUGGGGAUCAAACAGGAUUAGAUACCCUCGUAGUCC
This 292-nucleotide ribosomal RNA is filed under the name uncultured bacterium. RNAcentral describes it as "partial 16S ribosomal RNA". It matches the Rfam family "Bacterial small subunit ribosomal RNA", at positions 505 to 796 of the family's 1533-position model. The record is from RNAcentral.